Molecule: long non-coding RNA, 1052 nt
Organism: Carassius gibelio (silver crucian carp)
Lineage: Eukaryota; Metazoa; Chordata; Actinopteri; Cypriniformes; Cyprinidae
Exons: 7
Source: RefSeq, a predicted model, not a curated record
GUGGAAUUUAUUCAUGUAGCUGCUGCCUUUGCUGUGGAUUGUGCUUUCCGUAUUUCAGUAUAUAUUUCUGUUUUUAAAAUAUAUAUUUUUAAUGAUGUUUCUAGUUCUCUGUGUUGCUAACAAUCAUAGAGAUGUGUAACUUGUAGAAGAGCUUGGAGGCCUAAGUGACUAGAACAUUCUUGAGUUUCUUCAGGAAUCAGGAUAACACAUUCUUGGCUUGUCUUGAAGUCAUUUUCCUCCCCUUCUAUAAAAAAAAGGUGCACUGGAUGUGUGCUUAGCCAGCAAACAAUAAACAUAUCUACUCCAUCAGAUCAGCCACCCACCCACGAGGGAGGAGUAAUAUCCAAAUGCUUUCAGGAAUUUCUUGAUUACUCUUCCUCCUUCCUGAGCAUCCGGAUGGUGUUUAUUUACCAAGAGUAGCAAGAGAUACUGGAAAAGGCUUAAAUGCUCUUCCAAUUGGCGAAUACUUUGAGGCUAACUCUUCUCCUUUAAGGAGGUGUCUGGUUACCUCAGUAUCUCUGUACAGUGACUGAAAGAUCCAGACCCAAGGAUUUGACCUUCUGAGCAGACCUGGAUGACAUCCAUGUAAUUGUACCAAAUGCCAUCUGCCCUGUUUGUUCUUGUCCCAGACUCCCAAAGUCCUUGGCUCUUGGUACAUAUCCAGCCCACACCACUGUUAUUAGGGAAUGAAAAUCAUCAUCAUGGAUGUUGCACUAUGGAUGAGGUGUUGGAAGCGAGACCUUUUUUGAUUCACCUUAAAAUGACACGACUUUCUAUACAACUUUUUUUACUCUAACUGGAACAUAAUCAGAACAUAACCAGAACCAGUGCAGAUCAGAUGUGGAGUCAACGGCUGAGACUUGCACAUAGGCUGAUAUAUCUCUCUUCUGAGAGGGAAAUUUUACUGUCAUGUCAUAUUUUGUGAUUCUGCUGUUGUGUCUAUAUGCCAGACUUCCAUUACUUUCUCACAUUACGUGGUGAUUUAAACAGAAAUCGGCUGGUAAUAUGAACUGUCAUUGGUAUUUUACUUCCUUUUAUAAUUCUGAAAAGUC